MicroRNA precursor from Anolis carolinensis (green anole), 89 nucleotides. The record is from Ensembl. Lineage: Eukaryota; Metazoa; Chordata; Lepidosauria; Squamata; Anolidae.
CUUGUCGUACAGGUUGGAUGUCCCUUAUCCGAAAUAUCUGUGGACGAUUGUGGAAUUCCGGAUAAGAGACGUCCAGCCUGCACCACUUU